ACAGUGCCUGACGUUGAGAGGGCUCUUAAUAAGUGUUUGUGAAAGACUGAUAGAGAAAUGCCCUAUGAAACAAGAAACUGGAUAACAUUGCUCAGGACUCAGAGGAGAGAGGAGUGUGGUCUACACUUCACAUCUCUGCCAAGCCUGGCACUGGAUUUGAAGUUCCACACCACUGAGCCAAACACAUCCAGACUCUCUUCCAACCCAGGGAUCUGGUGGUAAGCAAAAUGAUAUUCCAGCAAGUGAUGCCCCUAAUCUCCUAAGGAUAUAAGCAAAAGGAUAAAGCCUCACCAUGAGCCCAGCUGUGUGCUGAGUCCCAGGAGCCCUUCCAGGGAACCUCCAAACAUGAGAAACAGGAAGUUGUGUUUGGCUACGGACAAACUAUUUCAGGGCCCCUGGGACUUACAAGAUGUUUGGAAUGAGGAACGCUCUCCCAAGACGGUGAGCUCAGCGGAGGCCCCCAGAGAAACAUGCUAUGCGGGAGGAGAGUUUUCCCCAUAAGACAGACCGUCCUUCAGCCCCGGCCACCAAAGAGGAGCAACCCGGGCCUGCUGUUCUCCGGGACUGAAUGCGGCCGCAUCCUUCCCUUCCUCUGCUUCCUGCUCCAGUACCUACUGAAGGUGCACACGUGGGGCCUGGGGAAGCUGGGUAUCUAACCCACGGUGCAGCUACGGUUGGGAAAUUCUGGGCAGGGACGAGCCUGUCUUCCCCCGGGGAAUUCCCUCCCAUAUUGCACAGGGCAGAGUGGGAGUGGAG
This is a long non-coding RNA of Mandrillus leucophaeus (drill), 756 nucleotides long. RefSeq lists it as uncharacterized. The transcript is spliced from 6 exons. The record is from RefSeq and is a predicted model, not a curated record. Lineage: Eukaryota; Metazoa; Chordata; Mammalia; Primates; Cercopithecidae.